This 406-nucleotide ribosomal RNA is filed under the name uncultured bacterium. RNAcentral describes it as "partial 16S ribosomal RNA". It matches the Rfam family "Bacterial small subunit ribosomal RNA", at positions 30 to 526 of the family's 1533-position model. The record is from RNAcentral.
AUUGAACGCUGGCGGCAGGCUUAACACAUGCAAGUCGAGCGAGCGGCGGACGGGUGAGUAAUGUAUGGGAAACUGCCUGAUGGAGGGGGAUAACUACUGGAAACGGUAGCUAAUACCGCAUACCAUCAGAUGUGCCCAGAUGGGAUUAGCUAGUAGGUGUGGUAAUGGCGCACCUAGGCGAAGAUCCCUAGCUGGUCUGAGAGGAGUACCAGCCACACUGGAACUGAGACACGGUCCAGACUCCUACGGGAGGCAGCAGUGGGGAAUAUUGCACAAUGGGCGCAAGCCUUAUGCAGCCAUGCCGCGUGUGUGAAGAAGGCCUUCGGGUUGUAAAGCACUUUCAGCGAGGAGGCGUUACUCGCAGAAGAAGCACCGGCGAACUCCGUGCCAGCAGCCGCGGUAAUUC